Molecule: long non-coding RNA, 2231 nt
Organism: Fopius arisanus
Lineage: Eukaryota; Metazoa; Arthropoda; Insecta; Hymenoptera; Braconidae
Exons: 4
Source: RefSeq, a predicted model, not a curated record
CAGAGAGUUUCCGUCUUCCCUCGUUCCCCAUUUGUGUUAGUUAACACUGAGUCAAAAUUAUUUGAGUAUUGGUCACACACGUACGCACCUCGUGCAUCUUUCUCUGGAGGUAUUUCACUUUGUGCCAAUGAGUGGGGUGAAACCAAGCGUUUUUCAUGGGCGAUAACUGGGGAACUGAUUGAUGUGGUGAUGCCACAGGAAAUAAUGGGGAUAACACUGGAUACCAUCUUGGAAACCGAUUUAGCAAUCAUCGUGUCAAAAUGGCCGUUACAUAUUUUUAGUCAUCCGUUACCCACAACUCAUUAACCUCAAAACUAAGGAAUUUGACGAACCGCAAUUUGAUGGCCUCCAGCAAAUUUCCACCUGCGAAAAACAUAAAGCAAGAUUCAACAAUGGCGUCAACGGACAGGUACUAGGCAAGAGUUGAUAUACCUAUAGGGACAGAAUCGUUUAUCGUGGUCACAGCUGGCAAACUUCCAUAAAGCAUGCAUCGUAAAACCUCCACGAGGCUCUUCACCAUCACAACGUCAGCCCGGCAUUGUCCAGUGACGCCUCUUUCCCGGCUUACAGACGUGCACACCUUUAACAGGAGAGACUUGCGUGUGAUGUCUAGAAAUAUGAGAAAAAUGUGGUUGUGUAGGUGCUUGGGAGAGUGGGAUAAGACAUCGAUGGGAAUGCCGGAAGUUGGCCGCAGGUGCUCUUCACGUUCGCCAUUAUUUUCAUGAUGUUCAACUAUGGUUUUCUUUUAUCUCCAUUUAUCAUCAUCGAACUCCUCAUUUCGAUAUGCAUCAAUCGCCGCAAAUAGGGCAAGAGAAUUUUCCACGCAACGAAUAAUAUCACAAGUUCGCUGCAUGGUUCAUAAAAAUGAUGAAAAAUUGUGGUUAAUCAAUGAAUUGUUUGGAUUAAAAUUUUUCAAUUUGAUUAAUUCCACGGCCAUUCGGUACGAAUGGAUACAACACGGAAAGGGAAAGCCAAUGCGUAAAAUAACCGUUUGAAAGAGUGCGAUAGGAAGACAGAAGGAAUUUCCCACUUGUUUUCGAGGUGACCCCUUGCGGAUGAUUGAUUUUCAUAAUAACCGGGAGGAGCAUGCGGUGAAUGUGACGAGCAUCAUCUAGACGCUUCUCAAAGGGCAGAGUGUCAUGUUCGGCAUUCAUUUUUCCAUCCAUUACUCACAGACGUUUAAUGCUCAUCGCAGCGGGAGGUGGUGUAAAAUGGCGCGUAACGCAGCAUCUAAAAAUAUAAGAGAGGUUAGCUAUCCCAACAGCCUUGUUUUUUCUCCCGGCAUGUGAUGCUCAUUUGCUGGAUGUCGACAGCAGCCGUACGUCUAGGUAUUUCACGGUGUGCGCCACGACGUCGCCAAUGAUGUCGAUAUCCAUGAAGCUGAAUUAGGAAUUGAAAAUUCAUAAUUGAGAAUGGAAUUGUGCCUGAAUCAGUUCCCCUGGUCGAAAUCCUUGGAUCACAAUCAGGCUGGGUUCUGUGAAACCUGAUAAUCUGAUCUGACGAGGUUCAGGGCUGAUCUGAUCAAUCUUGAUGUGGACCUGAUAAAAAUUUCCUCUCGUGUAUUUGCGGAGCGUUGCUGGAGGGACUGGACUCCUGGAGGGAUUCGGUUCAAUGGCCAAUGGAUGAUUGGUUUCACUGAGUGUAAUUUCAAGUCGAGACGGUACCUCUCGAUGGAGAAGUUGCAAUCAGGGCAACGAUGUUGGACAUCUGCCGACCAUCUGCUGGUAAAUGCCGCUCGACCACAUCUCCCUCCACACUCUCGUGUCCAGCUUCCGGCGAGAGGACGGGGGCAAGGUGCUCCUUGUCUCAGACCUCCACCGAAAAUACCAUUUAUACCUUCGGCUGAUUUCUCCUGAGCUCGAUGCACGCACUCUUCUCAUGAUUUAGUGUUCCGUAUCGGAAGGAAGAUUUAUCAUUUCGUGGGAAAGUCAUUCAUAAUUUGGGAUUGACGUCUAAAAUCAUCACGAAUUUCGACUAAUUUAACUGCACGGAGAAAAAAUAUUUAUUGUUUUUCGGAAAAUCUCCAUUAUAAAAUUCCAUUGUAAUAAAAAUUAAUGGCCAUGAAAUCCUAUGAAUCAAUAACUGUUUCAAUUACUCUAAGGAUUGUUUGAGAGUUGAAAAAAGUUGAAAAGUUUCUUAAUUGAGUAACUGUAAUUUGUAAAAUUAUGUUAUAGUAAUCGGAUUGAAUUUUGAAUGUUUAAGUGAUUCGAGAUAAUGUGAGGUUUUAGAAU